GGGUGCGGAACACGUGUGCAACCUGCCUUUAUCUGGGGGAUAGCCUUUCGAAAGGAAGAUUAAUACCCCAUAAUAUGUUGAAUGGCAUCAUUCGACAUUGAAAACUCCGGUGGAUAGAGAUGGGCACGCGCAAGAUUAGAUAGUUGGUGAGGUAACGGCUCACCAAGUCUACGAUCUUUAGGGGGGCCUGAGAGGGUGAUCCCCCACACUGGUACUGAGACACGGACCAGACUCCUACGGGAGGCAGCAGUGAGGAAUAUUGGACAAUGGGUGAGAGCCUGAUCCAGCCAUCCCGCGUGAAGGACGACUGCCCUAUGGGUUGUAAACUUCUUUUGUAUAGGGAUAAACCUACCCUCGUGAGGGUAGCUGAAGGUACUAUACGAAUAAGCACCGGCUAACUCCGUGCCAGCAGCCGCGGUAAUACGGAGGGUGCAAGCGUUAUCCGGAUUUAUUGGGUUUAAAGGGUCCGUAGGCGGAUCUGUAAGUCAGUGGUGAAAUCUCACAGCUUAACUGUGAAACUGCCAUUGAUACUGCAGGUCUUGAGUGUUGUUGAAGUAGCUGGAAUAAGUAGUGUAGCGGUGAAAUGCAUAGAUUUACUUA
This 600-nucleotide ribosomal RNA is filed under the name uncultured bacterium. RNAcentral describes it as "bacterial SSU rRNA". It matches the Rfam family "Bacterial small subunit ribosomal RNA", at positions 104 to 703 of the family's 1533-position model. The record is from RNAcentral.